CCUACGGGGGGCUGCAGUGGGGAAUAUUGCACAAUGGGGGAAACCCUGAUGCAGCGACGCCGCGUGAGUGAAGAAGUAUUUCGGUAUGUAAAGCUCUAUCAGCAGGGAAGAAAAUGACGGUACCUGAUUAAGAAGCCCCGGCUAACUACGUGCCAGCAGCCGCGGUAAUACGUAGGGGGCAAGCGUUAUCCGGAUUUACUGGGUGUAAGGGGAGCGUAGACGGCAGCACAAGUCUGGAGUGAAAUGCCGGGGCUUAACCCCGGAACUGCUUUGGAAACUGGGCAGCUAGAGUGCAGGAGAGGUAAGUGGAAUUCCUAGUGUAGCGGUGAAAUGCGUAGAUAUUAGGAGGAACACCAGUGGCGAAGGCGGCUUACUGGACUGUAACUGACGUUGAGGCUCGAAAGCGUGGGGAGCAAACAGGAUUAGAUACCCGGGUAGUC
RNAcentral lists this ribosomal RNA (440 nucleotides) under uncultured bacterium. RNAcentral's name for it is "partial 16S ribosomal RNA". It matches the Rfam family "Bacterial small subunit ribosomal RNA", at positions 338 to 795 of the family's 1533-position model. The record is from RNAcentral.